This 619-nucleotide ribosomal RNA is filed under the name uncultured fungus. RNAcentral describes it as "eukaryotic LSU rRNA". The stretch from base 221 to 374 matches the Rfam family "5.8S ribosomal RNA". The record is from RNAcentral. Lineage: Eukaryota; Fungi.
AGUAAAAGUCGUAACAAGGUUUCCGUAGGUGAACCUGCGGAAGGAUCAUUAUCGAUUGCGAAUUGUUGCCUUCAGUGCUGGCCAGCUCUGGCAAGUGCACGUCGGUGACUUUCAUCCAAUACCCUGUGAACCUUUGGCCUCUGCUCGCUUUGGCCGGCAGAGGAAUUUUACACACACUCGAAUGUAAUGAAAUUACUGUYGUGCGCAAGCACUAAUGUACAACUUUCAACAACGGAUCUCUUGGCUCUCGCAUCGAUGAAGAACGCAGCGAAAUGCGAUAAGUAAUGUGAAUUGCAGAAUUCAGUGAAUCAUCGAAUCUUUGAACGCACCUUGCACCCUUUGGUAUUCCGAAGGGUAUGCUCGUUUGAGUGUCAUUGUACUCUCACACUCCCGAUGCUUUUGGAUCGGGAGCGGUGGACUUGGGUGUUGCUGCUUGACCGCGGCUCGCCUCAAAUACGUUAGUGCAACUCUUGGUUGGACAUAGUACGGCGUGAUAAGUGUCUUCGCCGGCACCUCACUGGAGGGUGGCUGAUCAGGAGCUCUGUGCUUCAAAUCGUCUUCGGACAAUGACUGACAACUUGACCUCAAAUCGAGUAGGACCACCCGCUGAACUUAAGCA